Molecule: ribosomal RNA, 368 nt
Filed under: uncultured organism
Description: bacterial SSU rRNA
Rfam family: Bacterial small subunit ribosomal RNA
Source: RNAcentral
CGUAGGUGGCAAGCGUUGUCCGGAUUUAUUGGGUUUAAAGGGUGCGUAGGCGGCCCUGUAAGUCAGUGCUGAAAUAUUCCAGCUUAACUGGGAGGGUGGCAUUGAUACUGCGGGGCUAGAGUACAGAUGAGGUAGGCGGAAUUGACGGUGUAGCGGUGAAAUGCUUAGAUAUCGUCAAGAACACCUAUAGCGAAGGCAGCUUACUAGGCUGUAACUGACGCUGAGGCACGAAAGUGUGGGGAUCAAACAGGAUUAGAUACCCUGGUAGUCCACACUGUAAACGUUGAUUACUCGCUGUGUGCGAUAUACAGUACGCGGCCAAGCGAAAGCGCUAAGUAAUCCACCUGGGGAGUACGCCGGCAACGGUG